Molecule: RNA transcript, 3187 nt
Organism: Branchiostoma floridae (Florida lancelet)
Lineage: Eukaryota; Metazoa; Chordata; Leptocardii; Amphioxiformes; Branchiostomatidae
Gene name: telomeric repeat-binding factor 2-interacting protein 1-like
Exons: 13
Source: RefSeq, a predicted model, not a curated record
CAUUAGCUGUGUUCUGCGGCCUUGAGGAUCUGGGAGAGCUGUACGAACAUGGCGGGUCCGGAGUUCGAAUUCAGCCAUAGCAAUGUGUUGUUCCAAACUCAGGACGGAAUUCCACUUACAUUUUACUGCUUACCAGGAGAGGUGGAAACCCUCGAGCUCAUAGGUCCAUUGGUCAAGCAUGGUGGUGGAAUUGUUACUAACCGCUUAGCAAGAGCCAGGGGUGAAUACUCCAUCAAACUGGCAGCAGAUGGGAAAGGAGGUGAACACAUGCAUAUGUACUCCUAUAAGUACAUCUUAGAUUGUGUGGAGAGGAAUGCCUUACUACCUUUGGAACCGUAUAAAGUGUCUACCGUGGUGUCCUCCGACUCUGCAACUUCUGCAAAGGGGGCCAGACGUGAGCAUUUUGAAAGAUACGAAAGUAUCAAUAUACUUAUGUAUAUUGCGAAACAUGGUGGAGAAAAACCACCAGUCAGUGGAAAGAAAAUGUGGAAGGACAUGCAGCUGUUUAAGGUAACGAAGCACCCGUGGUCUUCGAUGAGAAGCCACUAUUUAAAACAGCUGAGAGGAAAUGAGGAGGAAUAUCAGAUCAAGGACCGUAUGAGGUUAUUAAAUAUGACUGGCAAGGAGCUUAAAGAGCUCAUGGGUGACGCUCCCCCGAACAAUGAGGAUGAGGAAGACAUUAACGACAUGGUGAACGACAACCUUGGGAAGGAGAAGGCCAAGAUGCAGCCUGAGGUUGAGACGGGCGUGCCACCUUACAUGGUCCACAACGCCAACAUGCCUCCGGAUGUCGAGAGCCUCCCGGAGUAUGCCGAGGUUGGAAACCAGCCCCAUCUGAAGACCUUCCUGACCAAGCAGCAGAACAUGAACCACCUGACCUCCCCGGCCCCCUACGCCUCCACCUCCGUGGUCGACACCAACCUGAACGAGAACCUGAACCUGGAGAAGUCGGUGUCGGAGAACGGGAGUGAGAAGUGGAUGCCGACCUUCACGCGUGAGAAGAGGAAGAACGAGAGGAGGACGCCGGAUGCUUACACGCCCGACCACAAAGUCAACAAUGACAUUUAUCCCCAGGAGAACUCUGAAGGCAGCCAGAUGUCCACCUCCCUGAGUAACCCCAUGUAUGACAACAGGCCCAGAAGCCCUUACAGUGAUGGGUCAGCCACAGAUGCCUCCUCGCGACGGCGGAGGAGAGCACAGAACAAGCCGCUGGUGCCCCCGCUGAACUGGGCGGACCUGCUGACCCCUGCCCCGGAGCACCCACCACCCAGCAAGGUGGACUCCUCUCCCGGUACCCUGCCCAGAUCUCCCUACUCUUCCUCACACAGGAGUGACAGACCCACCCCAGAUUCCCCCAACACCGACGUGACGUUACCGUGCCUGCCGGCGCACCUGGAGGAUACGGGGCAGGAGCCGGGGCUGAGAAUCGAGCUGCCGGGGUACGGCUACCUGGACGCUCCAUCGGACGCGGACACCAGCGUGAGGGACGAGGACUUCGAGAACCGUGACUACGACAGGGAGCGCCACCUGGGGGAACAGACGCCUGCUUCCAGCAUGGGAGAUCUGGAAAGCAGCGUCACAGAUCUCCUUGUAAUGACCAAGCAGAUGUAGAUGCAUUGGACACCGACUUUGAUGGUUUUGAUACAUCAGAAGUUGAAGCUAUUGACAGUCUGGAACCAUCUGAAUUUGAUGCCCUCGAUGGUCCCGAUAAUGACUUUCUCCUCUAUUACUUACAAUUCCAAAAACUUUUGGACUCGUGGGAAAACAUGGAAAGAAAUCGCAGGAGUAAGCCCAAAAGUCUGAAGCCUCCGCGAGAGAAUGGCAGAAGAUACUCAGACUCUAUGAUUGCCGGAUAGGCUUCAGCUACUGAUGACAACGACAGCGUGACGACAGUCAGCAACAGGUCCAGCGCUGCAGAGUCGUCAGACGGGUUCUUCUUCACGGACGCAGACUUUGCCAGUGCAGCAGCGGCGGCUGCAGAAAGUGCAGGGCUUACAGUGCAGGGUUCUAUUGUCUCCUAUCCUAAUGCAGGUUAGCUGUGCAUCUUUUAAAGACAAGUUAAGACUGAUCAGUUCAAAUUUGGAAAAACAAAAGAAAUUUGGAAUAUCAGAUAUGUUAAAUUUCUGCCUAUAAGUGUGGUAUCAGCUGGAAGCUGUCUUCAUUGUAAAAGUAGUCAUAUAGUUAGUAAAGUUCACAGCUUUAGAUAUGAUUGAAUGAAAAUGCACGAACCAUGUACAAUUAGGUUAUUACACAUAACACAGCAUUGAGUCGACAAAUUUUUAAUACUGUCACAAAAUAUGAGUUUUCUCUGUGAGAGUUAUACAAAUGUAUAUAAUAUAAAAUGUAUAUUUUGCUGACCCUUUGGCCUGUCCAUGACAAGUAGAUAUUUGUUUGAAUGUGUAUAUAUUACAUGCUAGCAGUGAAAAACAAGUUUAACUUAUUAUUAUGGAAAAGAAGCUUCCAAGUUUAGUUACAAGUUGUGAACAAACCAUAGUAGCUGGAAUCAUGUGUUGCAUAUUUUUUUUGCUCUUUCACUGCCAUGCUGAGUGGUUUAAGAUCAUGUGUUAGAAGAUCAGACUGUGCACUGGUGCUCCGAAUGUAUUAAGCACUUCUUGUAGCAAGCACGACACACAGUCAGACGAUCAUUCAACAAUGUAACUUUGAGGGCUGCUUUCUGUUCUGCAGCAUCUGUCAGCUGAAUAUUCCCAUGCCAACGUUGAACUCUGUAGAUAUCGUGAAAAGCAGGGGAAGCUUUAUGUAUUUAACAUUGUCAGCCCUAUGUUUCUGUGAAGAUAGAGUUUAUUGGUACUACCAUGUCCCAAACUUAACGUAGAUAUAACAGGGUUUUCCCCAGUAUGUAUGUUACCGUAAUUCUGUGUUGUUUCUCACAGUGAAAUGUACAUUGUGUUGUACCUAAAAUAUAUCAUAACAGUAAUCUUAACAAUGCAACAACAGUUUGUUUUAUACUCAAUGUCCGGCAAAAAAAACCCUGUGUUUUUGUAUUUUGCUAUGGAGGAAAACUUCAGCUGGAGUAAAAAUGGUGUCUGACAUGAAUAACGUUGUACGGUACGUGGCUACGUAUUUGUGUAAAGUUUGACUGUUGUCAAGAGUUUUAUUUGACAGCCACUGUAACAGGAAAUAGUGCCUGUAGUAAUAGUAUAUGGUACCAAUAAAAUACCUACUUACA